UCUUAUCCAGCUUAGCACAGUUGUUCUAGUGAUCUGAGCCGCGAGAAGGAAACGGCGCGGGUGACCGCCUGCUGUACGUAUACGCACAGCCCUGAGCCCAUCGCAGUGGUACCGGUUCUGACCCAGAACGGGCGCGUAUAAGCAGCAGGUGGUCGACAGCGUUCCAAGGCGAGUGUCCCAUGAUGUCAGGUGGAGGCAAUGGAAGCGCACCCAGGCAGCUCGCAGAAGCGCACCCACAUGCAUGCGGAGCAGGCCCUCGUGCGGUCCACCGCCGGUGUGUUUUCCGCACAUCGGGACUUGCGUCUCCUUCUUCAGCUCCUUGCAUGUGCUAUAGCGGAUUGGAAGGUUUGGGCGCCAGUAGCCGUCGUAAUCACAGCCACAGCAGCAGCGUCACGCUGGCGGGUAACCGAUACACCCACACCUCACCCGCACACAAGUCAUCAGCACCACCCUCUCUUUGAUUCGGCCGCUCCUUUAUAACACGUUCCGUGCCGCCCCGACCAACUCCCCACCCGGCUCCACAAUGCGCGUCUGUGCACCCCCUUGCGGCGAUUUGGUCUCGCUUCCCUCCUGCGCUGCGAGUCCUCUGUGCGUGCAACCUGAUACCCUGCGCUGCCGCUGCAAGCCUCCCUGUCGCUCAUCCCGGUGCGGUUUGUAUUCCAUCAGGUACUGUACUUAUACGACAACCAAAUCAGCGUCAUUGAGAACGUGUCUCACCUGCGCCGCUUGACGCACCUCUACCUGGCCAACAACUGCGUUCGGGAAAUCAGCGGGCUGGCGGGGCUCAGCAGCCUUCAGAAGCUCUACAUAGAGGACAACUGCGUGCAGGUAUCAGGGGAAGAUUGUCGGGUGUAAGGAAGAAACCGCUUGACGCCAGGACCGGGGGAGGGGGUGCGUGUAGGAGGGGGGAGGGUUGAGAGGAGGGUGCGGGCUAGGGGGAAUGGCAGUAUGAAGCGGGUUGGGGCCGGAGCUGGCGAGAACAUUGGUGGGCUGAUGGGCUGGGGGGCUGACAGGAUGGUCGAAAUGAUACAAAGGGCAGAAGGAGGUCAGGGGGCAGGCAGUAUGCCCUGCGCCUCCCCAUUCCGUCCCAGCGUGCCGCGCUCAUUCUCCUUCCCCAGCUCGUUCCAGCUCUUCUUCCACUUCCGCACAUUACAAGUUACCAACCCAUCCCCCGAGAGCCUCAACCCCCCCCCUUGCGCCCCCGAGCUACGGGGGGUCCACCCGUCUUUCCUAAGCCCAAACCGCUCCUUCAUCCCACCCAUCACUUCCGCCCCCUCUCCUUUCAAUUUCCACGCGCAGGUGGUUUCGGGGCUAGAGGCCUGUCCUUCCCUGGAGGAGCUCCACGUCUCUUCACAACGUCUUCCCCCCGGUACCCCCCUCACCUUUGACCCGGC
Molecule: long non-coding RNA, 1394 nt
Filed under: Volvox carteri
Lineage: Eukaryota; Viridiplantae; Chlorophyta; Chlorophyceae; Chlamydomonadales; Volvocaceae
Description: long non-coding RNA (VCAR_LNC003117)
Source: RNAcentral